CGCGUAGGCGGUUAUUUAAGUCAGAGGUGAAAACUACCGGCUCAACCGGUAGCCUGCCUUUGAAACUGGAUAACUUGAGGGCAGGAGAGGGGAGUGGAAUUCCCAGUGUAGCGGUGAAAUGCGUAGAUAUUGGGAGGAACACCAGUGGCGAAGGCGGCUCUCUGGCCUGUUUCUGACGCUGAGGCGCGAAAGCGUGGGGAGCGAACG
This 207-nucleotide ribosomal RNA is filed under the name uncultured Peptococcaceae bacterium. RNAcentral's name for it is "partial 16S ribosomal RNA". It matches the Rfam family "Bacterial small subunit ribosomal RNA", at positions 568 to 774 of the family's 1533-position model. Lineage: Bacteria; Bacillati; Bacillota; Clostridia; Eubacteriales; Peptococcaceae. The record is from RNAcentral.